This is a long non-coding RNA of Anguilla rostrata (American eel), 4397 nucleotides long. RefSeq lists it as uncharacterized. The transcript has 2 exons. The record is from RefSeq and is a predicted model, not a curated record. Lineage: Eukaryota; Metazoa; Chordata; Actinopteri; Anguilliformes; Anguillidae.
UCAAAAUUGGUCUCUCCACAUUAGCCGAACAAAAGAAAGUUUUGUGUCUUUUGGGAGAUUCAUUGACAUUUCAUCGAAAAUUAUUUGUUAAAUAAUUUAAAAUUAUCUAUGAAGAUCAUGGCCGUUUCGUGAUCUUACGAACUAUCAGGCGGUAGCCAGUACUUUGUUAGAAUAGCCGAUUUUACAUAGCUAACUAGAUGUGGCUAUUUCGCAUACACGAAGUUAGCUAGUCUAAGCAGCCAAAAUAGAGUGAUCAAUCUUUGCAGUAAAUUGUGCUCGAUAGCUAAUUUGCAGAUGUUCAUGAUGAGCAGCCUAGCUUAGCUAACACAUCAAACUAACGUUAGUUAGCUAGACUACACAUUAUCGCAGUAAGGGCUUGCAAACUAACCUUGCCUUACUGUAUAGAACAACCAAGUUAUUAAGCUGCAUAUAAACAAUGUAACGCCGGUCAUAUGCAAUCUACCAACACUUGUAGCUUGCAAGCUAAUUAGCCGCUAACUUUUUCAAUCUUUGAAUGUCCCAACUUGCCAAAGUCAGCUAACAAUGCUAACUAUUGUAAAGUAAGCUAGCCCUUUCAAGUAAAAUAGCUUCCAUGUUAGCAACCAUUUAGACGUUUUAAUAUUUGAGAAAGUGUAAAAAACUGGUGGUUGUGGCUAAUUUCUUUGUCAGUGCCAUUGUCGAAGCACUGUUGGUAGCUAGCUAACUGCUGUCUUGAGUUUAGCUGGACGACCUUGGAUUUUAAAUAUAAAGCGGUAGUACUAACCAGUGUGAUGUGGUCAACCCAACAAAUUAUUAACCAAGGAAAAUGAUAUUAUGCGUUAAAAUAGUCAUAUUUGUUAUUAUACAAAACAAUUAUCGCUAAUUUGUCCACAUUUCAGCGUUCUGUUUGCUACAGAGGCGUUUCAGCUACGCUAAUUUACAUGUAAAGAUUAGUUUGCAUAAGAUAAUAGCCUAUGCUAUUAGCAAACCGUUAAAUUGUCCAUCGCGUACAAGUGACUUGACAUUGUAACCUGGCUAACACUAACUUGGACAAGUGUGUUCGGUUACCGCAUGGGGAAGAUAUCGAGGUAUUUAUUGCGGAAACCAGCGUGGGCCCGCAGAACUGUCAUUAGGCUGCCAUGGGUUAGCUCGUGCUAAGCUCCUAAAUUAAGUUGUUUGAUUAACAUACUCUGAGUUUCAUAUAUUGCUAUAGUGGUAACGUUGUCUCUUGUGCUUGCUAAUCCAAAAUAAAUGUCAUGUGCUUUUUGCACUGAUUGGCAAAAAAGUUCUGCAGACCUGGUUUCCAAGGCCUACAUUGGCAGCUGACUGAAACGAAACCACAAAAACCUGCAGACGCUACAGUCCACCGGGACUGGAGUUUGAACUUCUGAUCCCGCGGAACUGCGUGCAGUCUAAACAAGGAAAGAAACGCAUGCCUCCGAUAGAAGAGCACUGAAUGGUCUGGCAAAUCUGAUACAGUAAGGACGUGGUUUGAAGGAAUUAAUUAUUUUUCUGAAAUACAGAGGCAUGAUUAAUGCAGUUUUUAUAUACUUGGCCAGCAUGACAAGUUUAUAUUCAGUUUCUGCUGUUAUUAUCUUUUUACUGUGCAUUUUUUUCUUGAUGUCACACAAUAGUCGGUCAUCAAAGCAUCUAAAAUGGACACCACCAGAAGGAACAAACGGGUGCCUUUGGAGUUCCAAGUCCAACCAUCGUCACUGAGAAUUGGGGACUGAGCCUUGAGAAAUGUGACGGGCCUCCUUCAGGACACACAGGCUAUAAUUUCUGAAUAAAAAAUAGGAUGCUUCUGUUAUAUUAAUAAUAAUAAUAAUAAUAAUGUACUCCAGAAGGCUUCUACUAUAGCCUCUGCCUCAUGCUUUCUCUAGAACAGGGGUGUCCAAUCAGAGAGUACCUUGGUAAAUAAAAACAACUAUGCUAAUGUUGAUUGGUGGAUGCAUUCUGGCUUUUCUGGAAUCCUUUGUGCUAUUUAGGCAUUGCCAGAAGGUAUCCACCGGUUACCAUUGGCAUUGUUCUGUUUGCUUCUACCAACAUACUCUGUGAUUGGCGAAGAGCCCCUCUGUGUAUUCUGAGUAAAAUGUGACAACUCAUCAGUCCUGUCCCUAUUUUAUUAUACCUGUCAAUUACCAGGCAAUUUUGAUUUCCAAUGCUGACACCUAUCAAUAUAUUUCAGAUUGUGGAGUUGAUAUUUGCUACAAUGGAAGUUUUAGGACAGUAUAGCCAUAUACAAAGCCUGGCUUCACUGCCUCACCUUCACCGUCUGUGUUCUGUUCUGACUCAGAAUGGCCGUUUGAUUCUCAGCCAAUGGGAGGCUCCUCUACUGUGACCUCAGAACAGUUUCAUGACAUCGCACACACCCUCACUAGCCACAAGCAUUUCUGAAUAGACAGACGUAUUCUUCAGAAUUAAUGGAAUUCCUUCCCAAUGUGCCAAACCUUGCCCAUUAAGUAUGAUUUGGAUGACCUGGCCUUUUAUGUUUGGCAUGUGAUAAUCUUCAUUUUAUGAGCACAGAAUCUAGCUCAUGCAUUACAUCUUCCCAGGCUUGCCAGUAGAGGACACAAUUUGCCUAAAAAAAAGGUAAACCUUCAUUUCUUUGAAAUGAAAAUCCAAACAUAACAAUUAUACUGACUCACAGGAGUGAAAGGUAAAAACCACAAUUCGAAAAAAAAGGCUCAAAUAUCUCUUAGUUUAUAUUUUAAUAUAGACAAAAGCCCUGAUAAAUAUCUAGCAGGUUAUUCAAAUAGUUGUUUCAUGAGAGCAAGCAAUUGCUUGAUUGAUUUGCUUGAGUGGAACUCUGGACAGUGGCUUCUCCUGGUUUAACCCAACAAGAUGAAAUUAGCACAAACUCCAUAAACUGUGCCAUAAGGAACCACAGGGAGAUGUGCUGUGUGUCAUGAAGAACCACAGGGAGAUGUGCUGUGUGUUGAAGAACAGCAGGAGAUGCAUUGUGUCAUAAAGAACAGCAGGGAGAUGUGCUGUGUGUCAUAAAGAACAGCAGGGAGUUGUGCUGUGUGUCAUAAAGAACAGCAGUGAGAUGUACUGUGUGUCAUAAAGAACAGCAGGGAGUUGUGCUGUGUGGCAUAAAGAACAGCAGGGAGAUGUGCUGUGUCAUAAAGAAUGAACGGGAGAUGUGUAGUGUGUCAUACAGAACUGCAGGGAGAUAAGUGCUGUGUUCAUAAAGAACAGCAGGGAGAUAUGCUGUAUGUUGGAGAGUCAGAUGAUUUCUGUAUCCAGUGAAGAGACCGGUGUGCAUCUGCCCUGCUCCUCAGAGGUCCCUGGAGAUCACCAUGCAAUCCUGAUGAAAGCGCAACACAAACACGCGAUGGAUUACAUGUCCAAUCAACCUGUGUCUCCCUCCUUUUACCAGUCUUUCAUUUUAGUAGCAUCUCACAAAGCCAUGCACAUCGGCGCCAAUAGGGAUACCAGUGUUACGCUAACCCCGAUCCAGACGCUGUAUUUUAGCACCAAAUCACAGGUGACGUAUCACCUGCCUGUCCAGGGUGUAGGCGUGACCGGGUUCUCAUAUCAAACCCCAUUUCUCUGUACCCCCGCAUGUGGUCACCGUCUGUUCGCAGGUGGAUUCUGACGUACCCAAAGCCAGACUAUUUCUCCUAGCUGUCUCCAAACUACAUUUGUCCUAGCUGUUAUGUUCAGUGCCUCUGACCGGACCUGAUGAUAAUUUCUUUCGAUUUGUCAGAAAGCGGCUUUGUUGUUCAGCUCACAUGGAACAUAAUCUUGUUCAGGCACUCGUGCCACGGUUCAGUGAUCCUGUUCAGUUACCAGUGCGCACCCCAAUCUUCACAAAUAGAUUAAAUUAAAAGCAAGUCCGACUGCUCUGCGGCAGUCGUGUUCACUGGUUAACACAAUGCUGGCUGGGGUUCAGUCAACGUUCGUGCUCAACUUUGUGUCACAAUUAAAAGCACAAUUCAUCGAUCGCUACAACUAAUCCGCCAAACUGAGCUCUCUAGAUAUUAUAUGAACAGUUUUAAUCAUUUUGUUUUUAAUCUUAAUGUCUAUUACAGUAAAUGUACUAUAUGAAGUAUUCUUUUAAAGAAAAAUAUUUGAAUAAUUUUUAUCCAACACAAAUUCACAGAUAUUUUUCCACUAUGACUUGUUCUUCGUUGCUGGUAAAUGAAAGUAAAAUAACAAAUGACGAGGGUGAGAAUAUCUAUUUUAGUCAUGACUGAACCAGGGCCCCUGGCACAACUCUACGUGUCAAUGUUCAGGUUUUAUGAAGGUCCUUGAACCCCUCUGCAGAUAAUUAUGCAUUCUUACUGGUUAAUAUUUCAUCUCGAAACAUACAGUGUAAAAUUAUGUUAAAGCAACUUUGGUAAAGAAAAAAAACUCUGCCUGCCUGUGUGUAUAUGCUGAGUAUACAUCAAAUAAAAUGGUCUUUAAAUAUA